GCCGGCGUAGCUCAAUCGGCAGAGCAAUCGCCUUGUAAGCGAUAGGUCAGGGGUUCGAUUCCCCUCGCCGGCU
RNAcentral lists this transfer RNA (73 nucleotides) under Nocardiopsis suaedae. RNAcentral describes it as "tRNA-Thr". It matches the Rfam family "tRNA". Rfam says of the family: Transfer RNA (tRNA) molecules are approximately 80 nucleotides in length. Their secondary structure includes four short double-helical elements and three loops (D, anti-codon, and T loops). The record is from RNAcentral. Lineage: Bacteria; Bacillati; Actinomycetota; Actinomycetes; Streptosporangiales; Nocardiopsidaceae.